This 76-nucleotide transfer RNA is filed under the name Marmota monax (woodchuck). Its description in RNAcentral is "tRNA.Val". The record is from RNAcentral. Lineage: Eukaryota; Metazoa; Chordata; Mammalia; Rodentia; Sciuridae.
GUCUGUGUGCUCAGCUCAGUGGUAGUGUGUGUACUUAACAUGUGCAUGGCCCUGGGUUUAAUUCCCAGCAUUGAAA